CAGUAGCCGCGGUAAUACGUAGGUGGCAAGCGUUGUCCGGAAUUAUUGGGCGUAAAGGGCUCGCAGGCGGUUUCUUAAGUCUGAUGUGAAAGCCCCCGGCUCAACCGGGGAGGGUCAUUGGAAACUGGGAAACUUGAGUGCAGAAGAGGAGAGUGGAAUUCCACGUGUAGCGGUGAAAUGCGUAGAGAUGUGGAGGAACACCAGUGGCGAAGGCGACUCUCUGGUCUGUAACUGACGCCGAGGAGCGAAAGCGUGGGGAGCGAACAGGAUUAGAGACCCCAGUAGUCCCUGUCUCUUAUAC
RNAcentral lists this ribosomal RNA (301 nucleotides) under uncultured bacterium. RNAcentral describes it as "partial 16S ribosomal RNA". It matches the Rfam family "Bacterial small subunit ribosomal RNA", at positions 509 to 807 of the family's 1533-position model. The record is from RNAcentral.